GAUGAACGCUGGCGGCGUGCCUAAUACAUGCAAGUCGAACGAGGUGCUUUUGUAGCAAUACGAGAGUAUCCUAGUGGCGAACGGGUGAGUAACGCGUGGAUGACCUGCCCCAAAGUGUGGGAUAACAGUCCGAAAGGAUUGCUAAUACCUCAUGUGGUUAUCGGUUUUAGAAAGCGAUAACUAAAGCAGCAAUGCGCUUUGGGAGGGAUCUGCGUCCCAUCAGCUAGUUGGUGAGGUAACGGCUCACCAAGGCGACGACGGUAGGGGACCUGAGAGGGUGGCCCCCCACAAUGGAACUGAACAACGGUCCAUACACCUACGGGUGGCGAGCAGUAGGGAAGUAAUUGCUCAAUGGGCGGAAAGACCUGAAGCAGCGAACGCCGCGUGUGCGAUGAAGGCCUCGGUC
Molecule: ribosomal RNA, 406 nt
Filed under: uncultured bacterium
Lineage: Bacteria
Description: bacterial SSU rRNA
Rfam family: Bacterial small subunit ribosomal RNA
Source: RNAcentral